CAUCACUUAUCCAUGCAAUAGUAGGGAGACACAUGAUUGGUGGGCUAUAUAUAAAACUAAAGCUAAGAAUUUCUUUAAUAUCCGUUUAGCAGAUACAGGUGAUGACAAUAUAUUUUCAGAUAUUGAUGUGUAUCAAGAGGAUGAUAUUGCAAAUCCAUUUGUAGUUCCGGCUAAUGAAGAACUUGACACGCUUAUUUGCAAGUUGAUUUCUCUCAAUUUGAAAUACUAGAUGAUGACGAGAUACAUAAGUUACAAUAAAGACUAAAAGAAGUGGUAGUAGAAGAGGAAGAGGAAGAGGAAGAAGAAGAGGAGAAUGAAGAGGAUGCAGAGGAUGAGGAAGAAGAAGAAUUUGAAAACGAUGAUGAGUCUAGU
RNAcentral lists this long non-coding RNA (372 nucleotides) under Elaeis guineensis (African oil palm). Its description in RNAcentral is "long non-coding RNA (EGUI_LNC067550)". Lineage: Eukaryota; Viridiplantae; Streptophyta; Magnoliopsida; Arecales; Arecaceae. The record is from RNAcentral.